GUACCUUGAAGUUUCAAUGAUGAGGCAUAUAUGUCAACUAUGGGUGUUGGCUCCAACAAUUCUCAUUGGUCUCAAACCAAUGACAUGAAUUUCGAUGAUCAUGAGUUUGAGGUGGACGAGUAUGGUGAGGGCAUUGUCGACGCACCCAAAGGAAGAGGAGGCAACUAAACCAAUGAUGAAGACAUCUUGCUAUGCAAUACUUGGUUGCAAGGGUCAAGGGAUCCCUCCGUUGGAGGUGAUCAAAGUAGAGAUGCAUAUUGGCUCCGGAUGAGGGAACACUUUGAUGUGCACAACAAAAGUGGAAUUGACCACUCGGGAAGAUCUCUUCGCUCCCAGUGGUCGACAAUCAACUGA
RNAcentral lists this ribosomal RNA (354 nucleotides) under Triticum aestivum (bread wheat). RNAcentral describes it as "partial small subunit ribosomal RNA". Lineage: Eukaryota; Viridiplantae; Streptophyta; Magnoliopsida; Poales; Poaceae. The record is from RNAcentral.